RNAcentral lists this ribosomal RNA (761 nucleotides) under Rhodobacteraceae bacterium ACEMC 3-2. RNAcentral's name for it is "bacterial SSU rRNA". It matches the Rfam family "Bacterial small subunit ribosomal RNA", at positions 61 to 873 of the family's 1533-position model. The record is from RNAcentral. Lineage: Bacteria; Pseudomonadati; Pseudomonadota; Alphaproteobacteria; Rhodobacterales; Paracoccaceae.
GUCGAGCGCACCUUCGGGUGAGCGGCGGACGGGUUAGUAACGCGUGGGAACAUACCCUUUGGUACGGAAUAGCCUCUGGAAACGGAGAGUAAUACCGUAUGAGCCCUUCGGGGGAAAGAUUUAUCGCCAAAGGAUUGGCCCGCGUUAGAUUAGGUAGUUGGUGGGGUAAUGGCCUACCAAGCCUACGAUCUAUAGCUGGUUUUAGAGGAUGAUCAGCAACACUGGGACUGAGACACGGCCCAGACUCCUACGGGAGGCAGCAGUGGGGAAUCUUGGACAAUGGGGGCAACCCUGAUCCAGCCAUGCCGCGUGAGUGAUGAAGGCCUUAGGGUCGUAAAGCUCUUUCGCCUGUGAAGAUAAUGACGGUAGCAGGUAAAGAAACCCCGGCUAACUCCGUGCCAGCAGCCGCGGUAAUACGGAGGGGGUUAGCGUUGUUCGGAAUUACUGGGCGUAAAGCGCACGUAGGCGGACUGGAAAGUUGGGGGUGAAAUCCCAGGGCUCAACCCUGGAACUGCCUCCAAAACUAUCAGUCUAGAGUUCGAGAGAGGUGAGUGGAAUUCCGAGUGUAGAGGUGAAAUUCGUAGAUAUUCGGAGGAACACCAGUGGCGAAGGCGGCUCACUGGCUCGAUACUGACGCUGAGGUGCGAAAGUGUGGGGAGCAAACAGGAUUAGAUACCCUGGUAGUCCACACCGUAAACGAUGAAUGCCAGUCGUCGGGUAGCAUGCUAUUCGGUGACACACCUAACGGAUAAGCAUCCGCC